CAGCCGCCGCGGUAAUACGAAGGGUGCAAGCGUUAAUCGGAAUUACUGGGCGUAAAGCGUGCGUAGGCGUUUUGUUAAGUCUGCUGUGAAAUCCCCGGGCUCAACCUGGGAAUGGCAGUGGAUACUGGCAAGCUAGAGUGUGUCAGAGGAUGGUGGAAUUCCCGGUGUAGCGGUGAAAUUCGUAGAUAUUCGGAAGAACACCAGUGGCGAAGGCGGCUCACUGGCUCAUACUGGACGCUGAGGUGCGAAAGCGUGGGGAGCAAACAGGAUUAGAUACCCCAGUAGUCCCUGUCUCUUAUAC
RNAcentral lists this ribosomal RNA (301 nucleotides) under uncultured bacterium. RNAcentral's name for it is "partial 16S ribosomal RNA". It matches the Rfam family "Bacterial small subunit ribosomal RNA", at positions 509 to 807 of the family's 1533-position model. The record is from RNAcentral.